GAUGAACGCUGGCGGCGUGCCUAAUACAUGCAAGUCGAGCGAACAGACGAGGAGCUUGCUCCUCUGACGUUAGCGGCGGACGGGUGAGUAACACGUGGAUAACCUACCUAUAAGACUGGGAUAACUUCGGGAAACCGGAGCUAAUACCGGAUAAUAUAUUGAACCGCAUGGUUCAAUAGUGAAAGACGGUUUUGCUGUCACUUAUAGAUGGAUCCGCGCCGCAUUAGCUAGUUGGUAAGGUAACGGCCUACCAAGGCAACGAUGCGUACCCGACCUGAGAGGGUGAUCGGCCACACUGGAACUGAGACACGGUCCAGACUCCUACGGGAGGCAGCAGUAGGGAAUCUUCCGCAAUGGGCGAAAGCCUGACGGAGCAACGCCGCGUGAGUGAUGAAGGUCUUCGGAUCGUAAAACUCUGUUAUUAGGGAAGAACAAAUGUGUAAGUAACUAUGCACGUCUUGACGGUACCUAAUCAGAAAGCCACGGCUAACUACGUG
This 497-nucleotide ribosomal RNA is filed under the name uncultured bacterium. RNAcentral describes it as "partial 16S ribosomal RNA". It matches the Rfam family "Bacterial small subunit ribosomal RNA", at positions 28 to 507 of the family's 1533-position model. The record is from RNAcentral.